Molecule: small RNA, 586 nt
Filed under: Pongo abelii (Sumatran orangutan)
Lineage: Eukaryota; Metazoa; Chordata; Mammalia; Primates; Hominidae
Description: processed transcript
Source: RNAcentral
GGGGGCGCAGUGCGCCUGCGCAAGAGCCGGUACGUAUUUGCCUGUAGCUGCGCGCAGUACCAGUACUUCUGGUCAGUUCCGAGGAGCGGCAAGUGAGGAAUAUGAAAUACCCUUAUGGCUGAAUCAGGGUGAAGGGGAAGCUUGUAAGCGUGGAAGACGCUCUACUCAAACUAAAAAGUUCGGGUUCUGAUCCAGCAGAUGAAAAGAGAGGCCUGAGAGGCUGCUGUUUUAACUUGCUCCCAGAGACAGGGCCUUACUCUGCUGCCCAGGCUGGAGUACAGUGGCACAAUCAUAGCUGAUUGCAGCCUCAAACUGCUGGGCUCAAGCGAAACUCCCGCGUCAGCCUCCUGAGUCCCUGGGACUACAGAUUCAAGUGAUUCUUCUGCCUCAGCCUCCCAAGUAGCUGGAAUUACAGGUACUGAGGAUGGAGGACAAGGGGUCAGUAGAGACCCAGCUUUGAGCAGAGCCCUGCCUAAGGUCUAGGGCUUGAUCUGGCCCUAACCACAGUCACUUUGAGGACACCAAGAACUUGAAAAGAUAAUUCACCAAGUGGAAGAACGACUUGCAAAUCCUGUGUCUGGUGGGG